GAUGAAGAACGCAGCGAAAUGCGAUACGUAAUGUGAAUUGCAGAAUUCAGUGAAUCAUCGAGUCUUUGAACGCACAUUGCGCCCCCUGGUAUUCCGGGGGGCAUGCCUGUCCGAGCGUCAUUGCUGCCCUCAAGCACGGCUUGUGUGUUGGGCCCCCGUCCCCCUCCCAGGAAGGGGACGGGCCCGAAAGGCAGCGGCGGCACCGUGUCCGGUCCUCGAGCGUAUGGGGCUUUGUCACCCGCUCGGGACGGACUCGUCGGCGCUGGUCUUCCUCCAGGCGACCCUUCGGGGCUCGUCUUCCUUCGGUUGACCUCGGAUCAGGUAGGGUUACCCGCUGAACUUAAGCAUAUCAAUAAGCGGAGGA
Molecule: unclassified non-coding RNA, 364 nt
Filed under: soil metagenome
Description: partial contains 5.8S ribosomal RNA, internal transcribed spacer 2, and large subunit ribosomal RNA
Rfam family: 5.8S ribosomal RNA (bases 1-120)
Source: RNAcentral